CCGGGGAUUUGCCUUAGUACGGCGAGUGAAGCGGCAAAAGCUCAAAUUUGAAAUCUGGUACCUUCGGUGCCCGAGUUGUAAUUUGGAGAGGGCAACUUUGGGGCCGUUCCUUGUCUAUGUUCCUUGGAACAGGACGUCAUAGAGGGUGAGAAUCCCGUGUGGCGAGGAGUGCGGUUCUUUGUAAAGUGCCUUCGAAGAGUCGAGUUGUUUGGGAAUGCAGCUCUAAGUGGGUGGUAAAUUCCAUCUAAAGCUAAAUAUUGGCGAGAGACCGAUAGCGAACAAGUACAGUGAUGGAAAGAUGAAAAGAACUUUGAAAAGAGAGUGAAAAAGUACGUGAAAUUGUUGAAAGGGAAGGGCAUUUGAUCAGACAUGGUGUUUUGUGCCCUCUGCUCCUUGUGGGUAGGGGAAUCUCGCAUUUCACUGGGCCAGCAUCAGUUUUGGUGGCAGGAUAAAUCCAUAGGAAUGUAGCUUGCCUCGGUAAGUAUUAUAGCCUGUGGGAAUACUGCCAGCUGGGACUGAGGACUGCGACGUAAGUCAAGGAUGCUGGCAUAAUGGUUAUAUGCCGCCCGUCUUGAACCCAGGAACCACA
This 589-nucleotide ribosomal RNA is filed under the name Saccharomyces cerevisiae (brewer's yeast). RNAcentral's name for it is "partial large subunit ribosomal RNA". It matches the Rfam family "Eukaryotic large subunit ribosomal RNA", at positions 68 to 664 of the family's 3401-position model. The record is from RNAcentral. Lineage: Eukaryota; Fungi; Ascomycota; Saccharomycetes; Saccharomycetales; Saccharomycetaceae.